This 1217-nucleotide ribosomal RNA is filed under the name 'Vitis vinifera' decline phytoplasma. RNAcentral describes it as "bacterial SSU rRNA". It matches the Rfam family "Bacterial small subunit ribosomal RNA", at positions 173 to 1398 of the family's 1533-position model. Lineage: Bacteria; Bacillati; Mycoplasmatota; Mollicutes; Acholeplasmatales; Acholeplasmataceae. The record is from RNAcentral.
UUUUUAAAGACCUUUCUUCGAAAGGUAUAGCUUAAAGAUGAGCUUGCGCCACAUUAGUUUGUUGGUGGGGUAAUGGCCUACCAAGACGAUGAUGUGUAGCUGGACUGAGAGGUCGAACAGCCACAUUGGGACUGAGACACGGCCCAAACUCCUACGGGAGGCAGCAGUAGGGAAUUUUCGGCAAUGGAGGAAACUCUGACCGAGCAACGCCGCGUGAACGAUGAAGUAUUUCGGUAUGUAAAGUUCUUUUAUUGAAGAAGAAAAAAUAGUGGAAAAACUAUCUUGACGUUAUUCAAUGAAUAAGCCCCGGCUAACUAUGUGCCAGCAGCCGCGGUAAGACAUAGGGGGCGAGCGUUAUCCGGAAUUAUUGGGCGUAAAGGGUGCGUAGGCGGUUAGGAAAGUCUAUAAUUUAAUUUCAGUGCUUAACGCUGUCUUGUUAUAGAAACUACCUUGACUAGAGUUAGAUAGAGGCAAGCGGAAUUCCAUGUGUAGCGGUAAAAUGUGUAAAUAUAUGGAGGAACACCAGAAGCGUAGGCGGCUUGCUGGGUCUUGACUGACGCUGAGGCACGAAAGCGUGGGUAGCAAACAGGAUUAGAUACCCUGGUAGUCCACGCCGUAAACGAUGAGUACUAAGUGUCGGGAUAAAACUCGGUACUGAAGUUAACACAUUAAGUACUCCGCCUGAGUAGUACGUACGCAAGUAUGAAACUUAAAGGAAUUGACGGGACUCCGCACAAGCGGUGGAUCAUGUUGUUUAAUUCGAAGAUACACGAAAAAUCUUACCAGGUCUUGACAUGCUCUGCAAAGCUAUAGAAAUAUAGUGGAGGUUAUCAGGGACACAGGUGGUGCAUGGUUGUCGUCAGUUCGUGUCGUGAGAUGUUAGGUUAAGUCCUAAAACGAGCGCAACCCUUGUCGUUAGUUACCAGCACGUAAUGGUGGGACACUUUAACGAGACUGCCGAUUAUACAUUGGUAGAAAGGUGAAGGAUUACGUCAAAUCAUCAUGCCCCCUUAUGAUCUGGGCUACAAUCGUGAUACAAUGGCUGUUACAAAGAGUAGCUCGAACCGCGAGUUUUUAGCCAAUCUUUAAAAAAGCAGUCUCAGGUUCCGGAUUGAAGUCUGCAACGAUCGACUUCAUGGAAAGUUGUAAUCGCUAGUAAUCCGCGAAUCAGCAUGUCGCGGUGAAUACGUUCGCGGGGUUUGUAUACACCGCCCGUC